RNAcentral lists this ribosomal RNA (364 nucleotides) under uncultured bacterium. Its description in RNAcentral is "bacterial SSU rRNA". It matches the Rfam family "Bacterial small subunit ribosomal RNA", at positions 29 to 421 of the family's 1533-position model. The record is from RNAcentral.
AGCGAACGCUGGCGGCAGGCUUAACACAUGCAAGUCGAGCGGGCACUUCGGUGUCAGCGGCAGACGGGUGAGUAACACGUGGGAACGUGCCCUUCGGUUCGGAAUAACUCAGGGAAACUUGAGCUAAUACCGGAUACGCCCUUUUGGGGAAAGGUUUACUGCCGAAGGAUCGGCCCGCGUCUGAUUAGCUAGUUGGUGGGGUAAUGGCCUACCAAGGCGACGAUCAGUAGCUGGUCUGAGAGGGUGGUCGGACACACUGACACUGAAUAACGGGUCAGACUCCUACGGGAGGCAGCAGUCGGGAAUUUGGGCAAUGGGCGAAAGCCUGACCCAGCAACGCCGCGUGAAGGAUGAAGUCUUCGGG